UACAGGGUAGCUCAAUUAGUAGAGUAAUCGCCUUGCAAGCGAAUGGUGAAGGUGCAAAUCCUUCCCCUGUA
This 71-nucleotide transfer RNA is filed under the name Marininema halotolerans. Its description in RNAcentral is "tRNA_Ala_TGC". It matches the Rfam family "tRNA". Rfam says of the family: Transfer RNA (tRNA) molecules are approximately 80 nucleotides in length. Their secondary structure includes four short double-helical elements and three loops (D, anti-codon, and T loops). The record is from RNAcentral. Lineage: Bacteria; Bacillati; Bacillota; Bacilli; Caryophanales; Thermoactinomycetaceae.